RNAcentral lists this ribosomal RNA (270 nucleotides) under uncultured archaeon. RNAcentral describes it as "partial 16S ribosomal RNA". It matches the Rfam family "Archaeal small subunit ribosomal RNA", at positions 477 to 747 of the family's 1478-position model. The record is from RNAcentral.
CAGCACCUCAAGUGGUCAGGAUGAUUAUUGGGCCUAAAGCAUCCGUAGCCGGCGCUGUAAGUUUUCGGUUAAAUCUGUACGCUCAACGUACAGGCUGCCGGGAAUACUGCAGCGCUAGGGAGUGGGAGAGGUAGACGGUACUCGGUAGGAAGGGGUAAAAUCCUUUGAUCUAUUGAUGACCACCUGUGGCGAUGGCGGUCUACCAGAACACGUCCGACGGUGAGGGAUGAAAGCUGGGGGAGCAAACCGGAUUAGAUACCCGAGUAGUCC